UACGUAGGGUGCGAGCGUUGUUCGGAAUCAUUGGGCGUAAAGCGCGUGUAGGUGGUUAGAUAAGUCGAUUGUGAAAUCCCUGGGCUCAACCGAGGAAGUGCAGUCGAAACUAUCUAGCUAGAGGACGGCAGAGGAAGGUGGAAUUCCAAGUGUAGAGGUGAAAUUCGUAGAUAUUUGGAGGAAUACCUGUGGCGAAGGCGGCCUUCUGGACCGGUCCUGACACUGAGACGCGAAAGCGUGGGGAGCAAACAGG
RNAcentral lists this ribosomal RNA (253 nucleotides) under uncultured bacterium. Its description in RNAcentral is "partial 16S ribosomal RNA". It matches the Rfam family "Bacterial small subunit ribosomal RNA", at positions 524 to 776 of the family's 1533-position model. The record is from RNAcentral.